UUUUCUUUCAGUUAUUGUAAAAAAAUUCUUUUGUUCUCUGGGAACGUCAUUUUUAAAAUGUUAUGGAAUGAUUGAAAGGACGACUAUUCACUUGUUACAAUUGCUCCAAAUUAUAACAAGGUUUAUCGUUUAAGAAUAUAUUACAUUGGUUAGGGUUCAUCAGUAAUCACGGACAAAUAAAACGCAACUUUGGAAGAUGGUCAAAAAAGAAUUGUUACCUCAAAGAAUGCAUAGCAAAAUACAAGAUGCAAGAUCAAACUGCAACCAUAGUAGUAGAAGAUGCAUUGUUGAGUUUUUCAAGCGCGAACAACAUAUAGAUGAUGAGUUUUAUAAAGAAUUAAGAAAAAUUCUAAAAAGG
This is a long non-coding RNA of Glycine soja, 358 nucleotides long. RefSeq lists it as uncharacterized. The transcript is spliced from 4 exons. The record is from RefSeq and is a predicted model, not a curated record. NCBI's taxonomy places the organism in Eukaryota, Viridiplantae, Streptophyta, Magnoliopsida, Fabales, Fabaceae.